CCUACGGGGUGCAGCAGGCGCGAAACCUCCGCAAUGCGGGCAACCGCGACGGGGGGACCCCCAGUGCCGUGGCACAGCCACGGCUUUUCCGGAGUGUAAAAAGCUCCGGGAAUAAGGGCUGGGCAAGGCCGGUGGCAGCCGCCGCGGUAAUACCGGCGGCCCAAGUGGUGGCCGCUAUUAUUGGGCCUAAAGCGUCCGUAGCCGGGCCCGUAAGUCCCUGGCGAAAUCCCACGGCUCAACCGUGGGGCUUGCUGGGGAUACUGCGGGCCUUGGGACCGGGAGAGGCCGGGGGUACCCCUGGGGUAGGGGUGAAAUCCUAUAAUCCCAGGGGGACCGCCAGUGGCGAAGGCGCCCGGCUGGAACGGGUCCGACGGUGAGGGACGAAGGCCAGGGGAGCGAACCGGAUUAGAUACCCGGGUAGUCCUGGCUGUCAAGGAUGCGGGCUAGGUGUCGGGCGAGCUUCGAGCUCGCCCGGUGCCGGAGGGAAGCCGUUAAGCCCGCCGCCUGGGGAGUACGGCCGCAAGGCUGAAACUUAAAGGAAUUGGUGGGGGAGCACUACAAGGGGUGGAGCGUGCGGUUUAAUUGGAUUCAACGCCGGGAACCUCACCGGGGGCGACGGCAGGAUGAAGGCCAGGCUGAAGGUCUUGCCGGACGCGCCGAGAGGAGGUGCAUGGCCGCCGUCAGCUCGUACCGUGAGGCGUCCACUUAAGUGUGGUAACGAGCGAGACCCGCGCCCCCAGUUGCCAGUCCUCCCCGCUGGGGAGGAGGCACUCUGGGGGGACCGCCGGCGAUAAGCCGGAGGAAGGAGCGGGCGACGGUAGGUCAGUAUGCCCCGAAACCCCCGGGCUACACGCGCGCUACAAUGGGCGGGACAAUGGGAACCGACCCCGAAAGGGGAAGGGAAUCCCCUAAACCCGCCCUCAGUUCGGAUCGCGGGCUGCAACUCGCCCGCGUGAAGCUGGAAUCCCUAGUACCCGCGUGUCAUCAUCGCGCGGCGAAUACGUCCCUGCUCCUUGCACUCACCGCCCGUC
Molecule: ribosomal RNA, 1031 nt
Filed under: uncultured archaeon
Lineage: Archaea
Description: bacterial SSU rRNA
Rfam family: Archaeal small subunit ribosomal RNA
Source: RNAcentral